GCGAAAAGAACAUCUACAAAGUGUGAGAGGCAGCCGGUUUUUCACCUAACGCCUAAUGGCUAAUGGCUAAUCACUAAAGUGAAAUGAACCUGCAACUCAACCUAAAAAUAAAGGAGAGAAAAAGGAAAAGCU
Long non-coding RNA from Sebastes umbrosus (honeycomb rockfish), 132 nucleotides. RefSeq lists it as uncharacterized. The transcript is spliced from 2 exons. The record is from RefSeq and is a predicted model, not a curated record. NCBI's taxonomy places the organism in Eukaryota, Metazoa, Chordata, Actinopteri, Perciformes, Sebastidae.